This 497-nucleotide ribosomal RNA is filed under the name uncultured bacterium. Its description in RNAcentral is "partial 16S ribosomal RNA". It matches the Rfam family "Bacterial small subunit ribosomal RNA", at positions 28 to 507 of the family's 1533-position model. The record is from RNAcentral.
GAUGAACGCUGGCGGCGUGCCUAAUACAUGCAAGUCGAGCGAACAGAUGAGGAGCUUGCUCCUCUGACGUUAGCGGCGGACGGGUGAGUAACACGUGGAUAACCUACCUAUAAGACUGGGAUAACUUCGGGAAACCGGAGCUAAUACCGGAUAAUAUAUUGAACCGCAUGGUUCAAUAGUGAAAGACGGUUUUGCUGUCACUUAUAGAUGGAUCCGCGCCGCAUUAGCUAGUUGGUAAGGUAACGGCUUACCAAGGCAACGAUGCGUAGCCGACCUGAGAGGGUGAUCGGCCACACUGGAACUGAGACACGGUCCAGACUCCUACGGGAGGCAGCAGUAGGGAAUCUUCCGCAAUGGGCGAAAGCCUGACGGAGCAACGCCGCGUGAGUGAUGAAGGUCUUCGGAUCGUAAAGCUCUGUUAUUAGGGAAGAACAAAUGUGUAAGUAACUAUGCACGUCUUGACGGUACCUAAUCAGAAAGCCACGGCUAACUACGUG